GUUAUAAUAGUUUAAAUAAAACAUUGGUCUUGUAAACCAAAAAUAAAUUAACUUUUUUUUAUAACU
Molecule: transfer RNA, 66 nt
Filed under: Argonauta argo
Lineage: Eukaryota; Metazoa; Mollusca; Cephalopoda; Octopoda; Argonautidae
Description: tRNA-Thr
Rfam family: tRNA
About the family: Transfer RNA (tRNA) molecules are approximately 80 nucleotides in length. Their secondary structure includes four short double-helical elements and three loops (D, anti-codon, and T loops). Further hydrogen bonds mediate the characteristic L-shaped molecular structure. tRNAs have two regions of fundamental functional importance: the anti-codon, which is responsible for specific mRNA codon recognition, and the 3' end, to which the tRNAs corresponding amino acid is attached (by aminoacyl-tRNA synthetases). tRNAs cope with the degeneracy of the genetic code in two manners: having more than one tRNA (with a specific anti-codon) for a particular amino acid; and 'wobble' base-pairing, i.e. permitting non-standard base-pairing at the 3rd anti-codon position.
Source: RNAcentral